This 257-nucleotide ribosomal RNA is filed under the name uncultured bacterium. RNAcentral describes it as "partial 16S ribosomal RNA". It matches the Rfam family "Bacterial small subunit ribosomal RNA", at positions 15 to 253 of the family's 1533-position model. The record is from RNAcentral.
GAUCCUGGCUCAGGAUGAACGCUGGCGGCGUGCUUAACACAUGCAAGUCGAACGAAGCACUUUACCACGAUUCCUUCGGGAUGACGGUUUAGUGACUGAGUGGCGGACGGGUGAGUAACGCGUGGGGAACCUGCCCCAUACCGGGGGAUAACAGCCGGAAACGGCUGCUAAUACCGCAUAAGCGCACAGUACCGCAUGGUACGGUGUGAAAAACUCCGGUGGUAUGGGAUGGACCCGCGUCUGAUUAGCCAGUUGGG